GGCGAGAUGGCCGAGCGGUCUAAGGCGCCAGACUAAGGAUUUGGUCCGAAAGGGCGUGGGUUCGAAUCCCACUCUCGUCA
Molecule: transfer RNA, 80 nt
Filed under: Vararia minispora EC-137
Lineage: Eukaryota; Fungi; Basidiomycota; Agaricomycetes; Russulales; Lachnocladiaceae
Description: tRNA-Leu
Rfam family: tRNA
About the family: Transfer RNA (tRNA) molecules are approximately 80 nucleotides in length. Their secondary structure includes four short double-helical elements and three loops (D, anti-codon, and T loops). Further hydrogen bonds mediate the characteristic L-shaped molecular structure. tRNAs have two regions of fundamental functional importance: the anti-codon, which is responsible for specific mRNA codon recognition, and the 3' end, to which the tRNAs corresponding amino acid is attached (by aminoacyl-tRNA synthetases). tRNAs cope with the degeneracy of the genetic code in two manners: having more than one tRNA (with a specific anti-codon) for a particular amino acid; and 'wobble' base-pairing, i.e. permitting non-standard base-pairing at the 3rd anti-codon position.
Source: RNAcentral